UAAUGACGAGACGCUAAGGCGUUGAAGCAGUGUAUGUCAGACUUCCAAGAAAAGCUCGCAAUGUCACAAAUAAAAUAUGCCUGUGCCAUAACCGACACAGGUGGGUAGGUAGAGUAUACUAAGGGGCGCGAGAUAACUCUCUCUAAGGAACUCGGCAAAAUGACUCCGUAACUUCGGGAGAAGGAGUGCCUUAUUUAUAAGGUUGCAAUAACAAGAUCCAAGCAACUGUUUAUCAAAAACACAGGUCUCCGCUAAGUCGUAAGACGAUGUAUGGGGGCUGACGCCUGCCCAGUGCCAGAAGGUUAAAGAAGUUGGUUAGUGUAUGCGAAGCUGAUGACUGAAGCCCUGGUGAACGGCGGCCGUAACUAUAACGGUCCUAAGGUAGCGAAAUUCCUUGUCGGGUAAGUUCCGACCCGCACGAAAGGCGUAAUGAUUUGGAUACUGUCUCGGAGAGAGGCUCGGUGAAAUAGACUUGUCUGUGAAGAUGCGGACUACCUGCACCAGGACAGAAAGACCCUAUGAAGCUUUACUGUAACUUGAAAUUGGAAUUGGACUUUGCUUGCGCAGUAUAGGUGGGAAGCGUUGAAAAUAUUCUUGCGGGAGUAUUGGAGCUAUCAGUGAGAUACCACUCUUGUAAUGUUAGAUUUCUAACUUUGAACCAUAAUCUGGUCAAAGAACAGUUUCAGGUGGGCAGUUUGACUGGGGCGGUCGCCUCCCAAAUGGUAACGGAGGCGUACAAAGGUUUCCUCUGAACGGAUAGAAAUCGUAUCUAGAGUGUAAAGGCAUAAGGAAGCUUGACUGUGAGACCUACAAGUCGAGCAGGGACGAAAGUCGGUCUUAGUGAUCUGACGGUACUGAGUGGAAAGGCCGUCACUCAACGGAUAAAAGUUACUCUAGGAUAACAGGCUGAUCUCCCCCAAGAGUUCACAUCGACGGGGAGGUUUGGCACCUCGAUGUCGGCUCAUCGCAUCCUGGGGCGGUAGUACGUCCCAAGGGUUGGGCUGUUCGCCCAUGAAAGCGGUACGCGAGCUGGGUUCAGAACGUCGUGAGACAGUUCGGUCCAUAUCCGGUGUAGGCGCUAGAAUAUUGAGAGGAGCCUUCUUUAGUACGAGAGGACCGAGAAGGACACACCGCUGGUGUACCAGUUAUCGUGCCAACGGUAAACGCUGGGUAGCUAUGUGUGGAGUGGAUAACCGCUGAAAGCAUCUAAGUGGGAAGCCCACCUCGAGAUGAGUA
RNAcentral lists this ribosomal RNA (1236 nucleotides) under metagenome. Its description in RNAcentral is "bacterial LSU rRNA". It matches the Rfam family "Bacterial large subunit ribosomal RNA", at positions 1564 to 2810 of the family's 2925-position model. The record is from RNAcentral.